RNAcentral lists this ribosomal RNA (343 nucleotides) under uncultured bacterium. RNAcentral describes it as "bacterial SSU rRNA". It matches the Rfam family "Bacterial small subunit ribosomal RNA", at positions 335 to 669 of the family's 1533-position model. The record is from RNAcentral.
ACUCCUACGGGAGGCAGCAGUGGGAAUAUUGCAACAAUGGGCGCAAGCCUGAUGCAGCCAUGCCGCGUGUAUGAAGAAGGCCUUCGGGUUGUAAAGUACUUUCAGCAGUGAGGAAGGUGGGUAUGUUAAUAGCAUACUCAUUUGACGUUAGCUGCAGAAGAAGCACCGGCUAACUCCGUGCCAGCAGCCGCGGUAAUACGGAGGGUGCGAGCGUUAAUCGGAAUUACUGGGCGUAAAGCGCAUGCAGGUGGUUUGUUAAGUCAGAUGUGAAAGCCCGGGGCUCAAGCCUCGGAAUUGCAUUUGAAACUGGCAAACUAGAGUACUGUAGAGGGGGUGAGAAUUG